This 239-nucleotide ribosomal RNA is filed under the name uncultured bacterium. RNAcentral's name for it is "partial 16S ribosomal RNA". It matches the Rfam family "Bacterial small subunit ribosomal RNA", at positions 15 to 244 of the family's 1533-position model. The record is from RNAcentral.
GAUCCUGGCUCAGGACGAACGCUGGCGGCGUGCCUAAUACAUGCAAGUUGAGCGCUGAAGGUUGGUACUUGUACCGACUGGAUGAGCAGCGAACGGAUGAGUAACGCGUGGGGAAUCUGCCUUUGAGCGGGGGACAACAUUUGGAAACGAAUGCUAAUACCGCAUAAAAACUUUAAACACAAGUUUUAAGUCUGAAAGAUGCAAUUGCAUCACUCAAAGAUGAUCCCGCGUUGUAUUAG